UAACAACGUAUUUUCUAAAAAGCUUUCUAUAAAAUCCAAUAUCUCUCUUCUAAUUUCAAGAUGACUAAUCCUAAUUCAGCACUGCAGUUUAUAUGAAGUACAAGCUUCCAUAUUUGAACUGGUUACAAUAUUUAUAAAAGACUCAACAGUCAGGCAACAAAUAUUCACGAAACUAAUUUAAUUGUAGUGAAAAUUACUAAUGUCUUAAAUGUGCACAUUAUUCUGAUGCAUGAAUGGCUGUAAGAUCAAUUAUGACACAGUUGAAAAGUUCAGGAACAAUUCAAAAAAAUAUAUCUAAACUUUUAUGAUUUUCUCUUGCAUAAGCGCAAAAGGUUUAGGAGCUGAUCUGUUUUUUUUCUUUUUCCUACAUGAGUUGGAGAAACUAGAAGUAGGAAUGUGUUUCACUUCUGCUGGUGAUGAAUCCAAUAGAGGAGAUGAAUACUUGAUUGUACUUUACUGACGUCUACAUGCUGUCCACACAUACCAGCCAUAGAAACACUGAUAGAUUUGCUUCUCUGGUGCCUAAACUACAUUGUAAGUGGGAUAAAUCAUCCUUUUAGACAUUUAAAGUGUAGUUGAUCAGUUUUUAAGCAAGGUGGUGUCUGAAGCUUGGCUGGAAUUUUUUUUUUAUCUUCUUGUAACACUUUGUCUUCCUUUCCCUCACAAGGACAUUUUGUUUUUGAUUUCAACAGUGGAGGCCCCACGCCUCCACCAGACUGGUACAAUCUGUACAGCCCCACAAUCAAUCAGAGAGACUCUGUUUUUGAAAGCAUGUUUAUUUUUAACAAGGGAUAAUAAUCUGAAAAUACGGUUCCAGAUAGAAAGCAAAUGGAGAAACAAGUUGUUUUCUAUGCUUUUGUGAUUUUUGUGUUGGACUGGAUAAGCACACACUUCUGGUGAAGUGCAUAAAGUGGCAACAGAUGGAUCAGGGUUUGGAUUGAAGCUAUGAAAAGGCAGCCCAAGGCAGAAGCAACCCAUGCAAGGUAAAGGAUUUUGGAUAUUUAAAUCAUGAAAAACUGAACUCUGUGGUUUAGUUUGUUUGAAAAUGGUAACUGACUAAAAAACAUGUAACUACUUUGAAAUGUGUAAGUUUGAAAUGUUCUCAUAUUAAAAGCCUAAUGGGACUAACGAGUGUAACAGUUGUCCUGGUUAAGGAGUCUCUACAUAUUUUGACGGUUAUGUCAACGACCACUUAAUAAAAACAAAGUUUAUUUUCCAAAAAUUUGGUUUCUCGAUUUGAAUCACAUAAAUACAUGAGACAUCCAUUGUAAUACAACUAUGAUAUAAAUAGCAUAUACUUUAAGAGAAAAUAAAUUGAAACUCACCCCUAAGAUACAUAUUAAAAGCAAAUAAGAUUAAAGUUAUAGGACUCUGACAGGGACUUAUUUAGAAAAUUAUCUAAAUUUGUAUGUUUUUUUCUGUAACAGUUUAAAAACAACUUUGCAUAGCAUGAAAAUUCGACUUUUUACUUUUCUAUCCUUUAUAAGCUUUGAUGCACAACAUUAAACUAUGUAUUUUUACUAAAACUGAUAAAAAAAAAAAAAAAAUCCACCAAAAAUGUUUUAUUUGAAAUACCUAUUUGGUAUUUCAAAUUCUCCAAUCAAAAGGAUUUAAAGUGCACUACUUUUAUCAUUAUCAUUACUUUUUAUCAUGACUUAUGCAAAUAAUAAAAAAAAACAAUUAAAAACAAUUGAGCCGUACACCUAAAAAAAUAGAAUAAAUGGGCACAGUCUCAAUGCAGAUCCUCUGUAACACAAGUGAUAUUAAUUUAUUUAUAUUGUAUUACAUUAGACACAAAGUAGGAGUAAUCAGUCCAUUAAAACCUUCCUUCUCAGAAUGUCAGUGUAUGGUAACCUUCUUGGACUCAUAUUCUCCUAGAGGGGCCAAAAUCAGCCAAAGGGUUCGAUAUAACAGGUAACUGAAUGAUAUACCAACUGUUGGACCUGGAAAUCUUAAACAUAACUAUAUAAUAUAUAAUAUAGUUUUCUUUUUACUGACGUUUAUGCAGAAUGGAUUCUGAGUGAUGAAUUUUAAAAUAAUAGUGUAAAGGGAUCAAUAUUUCAUUAUCUAAUGUUUUAUAUUGUACAUGCUCUGAUGCAAUUUAGGCUUUUCUUUCAUAUUAGAAAGUUCAAACUAUUGCGUGCAUUUAAUACAAAUGAGGAACUAUGCAUCGAAAUGUGUCAUUCUGGGAGAAUAGUGUUACACUUUGCCAGUAACUUUUGUUUUGUGUGUGUGUGUGUGUGUUGUGAAACCUUUUGGUCUUUUAGCAUUUUCAGCAGAUUUUCCUGCACAUUUCAAAGGUGGCACGCUUAUAAAGAUCCAGAUACACAUCAACUCUACUGAUGGUUUUAUUUUCCUGUCGAAUGGGAGUUUUACUUUCUGGUAUUGCUAGAUGCAUGCUUGGUAUGAGGGAUCACUGCAAAGUGCACAGUGCAAGCAGCUGUCUACUGUCACUCAUCCGGAAGGCUUACUGGCUACAAAUGGUGCUCUUUUACUCUAAACGUUUGAACCACUUUGAAUGCAAAACUGAACUUGACUACAUUGUUUGACUUAGAUCAAAAAAGGACCAAGCAUAGGUUUGGACUCCCCUUUGUCAUUCUGGGAUUUUUUUUUAUUAUUUUUAUGAUUUUUAACAUUUAACAUAAAUAAUAGUGCAAAAGUAUUUAGAAAUAUGUUGAAAAAAA
Cyprinodon tularosa is the source of this 2684-nucleotide long non-coding RNA. RefSeq lists it as uncharacterized. The record is from RefSeq and is a predicted model, not a curated record. The transcript is spliced from 2 exons. Lineage: Eukaryota; Metazoa; Chordata; Actinopteri; Cyprinodontiformes; Cyprinodontidae.